Molecule: ribosomal RNA, 492 nt
Filed under: uncultured bacterium
Lineage: Bacteria
Description: partial 16S ribosomal RNA
Rfam family: Bacterial small subunit ribosomal RNA
Source: RNAcentral
AGUGAACGCUGGCGGUAGGCCUAACACAUGCAAGUCGAACGGCAGCACCGUAAGAGCUUGCUCUUACGGGUGGCGAGUGGCGGACGGGUGAGGAAUAUAUCGGAAUCUACUUUUUCGUGGGGGAUCACGUAGGGGAACUUACGCUAAUACCGCAUCCGACCUACGGGUGAAGGCAGGGGAUCUUCGGACCUUGCGCGAUUGAAUGAGCCGAUGUCGGAUUAGCUAGUUGGCGGGGUAAAGGCCCACCUAGGCGACGAUCGGUAGCUGGUCUGAGAGGAUGGUCAGCCACACUGGAACUGAGACACGGACCAGGCGCCUACGGGAGGCAGCAGUGGGGAAUAGUGGACAAUGGGCGCAAGCCUGAUCCAGCCAUACCGCGUGUGUGAAGAAGGCCUUCGGUUUGUAAAGCCCGUUUGUUGGGAAAGAAAAGCAGCAGGUUAAUACCCCGCGGUUCUGACGGUACCCAAAGAAGAAGCACCGGCUAACUUCGUG